This is a long non-coding RNA of Rhinolophus ferrumequinum (greater horseshoe bat), 1024 nucleotides long. RefSeq lists it as uncharacterized. The transcript is spliced from 3 exons. The record is from RefSeq and is a predicted model, not a curated record. NCBI's taxonomy places the organism in Eukaryota, Metazoa, Chordata, Mammalia, Chiroptera, Rhinolophidae.
GGAGGGACACCCAGAGAACAUGGUAUUGCUAAGGAGGUGUAAGGCUAAACAAGGACUAGUCCUCUGCAUAUAAAAGCGACCAGAGUGGUGUAAGCAGCCCUGUUAUCUGGAAACCUCCCCACUUUUAGCCAGUGACAAUAACAUCAUUUUCCUGGGAGGGGAGGCAGGAGGAGGACCAUCCCCACCAAAUACUGUAGGUGGGUAUACAAUGGACUGGUCUCCUGACAAGUGAGGGGUGGCAUCGGUGGUUAGCUCUGUAAUUGCCCGGCAGAGAGGAACAGAGAAGUGUUCCUGCAGAGGGCCGUGUUCAGUGACGUGAACAACGACGCAUUCAUCUCUGGCAGCCCAGGGCUUCCAGGAAGGGAAGGGAUCUCCUCAGGAUCCAAGGCCAGUCUUUGGCUGGGGCCCUUGAGGAGGUGACUUCAGUGGGGACAGUGCCUUGCUGAAGCCUCAAGGUGGGAACCAGCGAUCCCUGGUGCCACCUCACUUCUUCAGAGGGCAGAGGACAGAGAAGCCUGGAAAUCAGGCAGAGGACCAGGCGCCUGGAUGCCGAUGGACUGGCCAACCGAAGUAAGUUUCAUGGGAGAAGAGGAAACUUCAGACCUUGCAUUUCAAGGAAACUUCAGACCGUACAAUCUCACAACAAUGAAGAGAACAGAAGGGGCACCUUCAAUGGAAAAGAUACUCAGGGCCAGAGUCUUCAAACUGAGAGCCAGACCUCUUACAGAAGCCUGUCCACAAAUGUCCUCAAGUCCAUGAAGAUUUAAUCACUGGCUGCUCUGUAUGAAUGAGCCCACAUGUGACUCCAUUGUGGUACAUUUCACAAAGCGUUGUCACCAUGUCAUUGUAGAUACUCUGUCUCCUCUACUGGUUGGUGAAUGCUUGAAGGAAAAGACCAAGCAUGGCACACUCAUCACUGAAUCCCGGUACCUAGCACAGCUGCAACGUAACUAUGUGGAAGACAGUCAGAGACAGAGGGAGAUUCUGAGUCUUCUGCCCCAUGGUUCUUCCCCUUCAUUUUUGG